GUGCUUGCUUCGGCAGCACAUAUACUAAAAUUGGAACCAUACAGAGAAGAUUAGCAUGGCCCCUGUGCAAGGAUGAUAUGCAAAUUCGUGAAGCGUUCCAUAUUUUU
Molecule: small nuclear RNA, 107 nt
Filed under: Phocoena sinus (vaquita)
Lineage: Eukaryota; Metazoa; Chordata; Mammalia; Artiodactyla; Phocoenidae
Also listed under: 1 other name
Source: RNAcentral